Molecule: ribosomal RNA, 467 nt
Filed under: uncultured bacterium
Lineage: Bacteria
Description: partial 16S ribosomal RNA
Rfam family: Bacterial small subunit ribosomal RNA
Source: RNAcentral
ACGAACGCUGGCGGCGUGCUUAACACCUGCAAGGCGAACGGAAAGGCCCUGCUUUUGUGGGGUGCUCGAGUGGCGAACGGGUGAGUAACACGUGAGUAACCUGCCCUUGACUUUGGGAUAACUUCAGGAAACUGGGGCUAAUACCGGAUAGGAGCUCCUGCUGCAUGGUGGGGGUUGGAAAGUUUCGGCGGUUGGGGAUGGACUCGCGGCUUAUCAGCUUGUUGGUGGGGUAGUGGCUUACCAAGGCUUUGACGGGUAGCCGGCCUGAGAGGGUGACCGGCCACAUUGGGACUGAGAUACGGCCCAGACUCCUACGGGAGGCAGCAGUGGGGAAUAUUGCACAAUGGGCGGAAGCCUGAUGCAGCAACGCCGCGUGCGGGAUGACGGCCUUCGGGUUGUAAACCGCUUUCGCCUGUGACGAAGCGUGAGUGACGGUAAUGGGUAAAGAAGCACCGGCUAACUACGUG